Small nucleolar RNA from Accipiter nisus (Eurasian sparrowhawk), 78 nucleotides. NCBI's taxonomy places the organism in Eukaryota, Metazoa, Chordata, Aves, Accipitriformes, Accipitridae. The record is from Ensembl.
CGGCGCGGUGAUGAGCCUCUUCGGCUGUUGAGUCUCACGACCGUGAGAGCUGCCUCAUGCACUACCAGCUGAGCGCCG